Molecule: small RNA, 919 nt
Filed under: Spiroplasma insolitum M55
Lineage: Bacteria; Bacillati; Mycoplasmatota; Mollicutes; Entomoplasmatales; Spiroplasmataceae
Description: bacterial LSU rRNA
Rfam family: Bacterial large subunit ribosomal RNA (bases 423-919)
Source: RNAcentral
CGCCCGUCACACCAUGAGAGUUGAUAAUACCAGAAGUCGGUAUUCUAACCGUAAGGAGGAAGCCGCCCAAGGUAGGAUUGAUGAUUAGGGUGAAGUCGUAACAAGGUAUCCGUACGAGAACGUGCGGAUGGAUCACCUCCUUUCUAUGGAGUUAUUACUUUAUAGUAAUUUAAUUAGUUUUAAUGACCGUUAUGUUUAGUUUUCAGAGGUUAGUUUCUCUGACAAUAACAAGAAAAAUGUUAUUGAAAUUGUUCUUUGAAAACUGGAUAAUAGACAUCUAGUUAUUUUAAUCAUAUGAUUAAAAUAACAAUAAUUCAAAAUUUCUGUUAUUUUUAAAAAAAUAACUAAAAUUUCACAGUUAUAUUUGUAAAUGAUUCUCAAAACUGAUUUAAAAUCAGGUCAAAUAAUUAAAUUAAUAAAACUUUGAAGUUACAAAGGGCGUAUGGUGAAUGCCUUGGGAAUAGGAGACGAUGAAGGACGUGACUACCUGCGAUAAGGUUCGGGGAGCUGGAAGUAAGCUUUGAUCCGGACAUGUCCGAAUGGGGAAACCCGGUGAGAUUAAUCUCUCAUCAUCCUAUAAUGAAUAAAUAGUUAUAGUGAAGGUAUACCUAGGGAAUUGAAACAUCUCAGUACCUAGAGGAAAAGAAAGCGAAUGCGAUUCUCUUAGUAGCGGCGAGCGAACGGGGAACAGCCCAAACCAGAUUUAUCUGGGGUUGUAGGACCAUAUGAGUAGAGUUACAAAACUUGUUUAUAGUAGAAAUGGUUGGGAAACCAUGCCACAGAGGGUGAUAGCCCCGUAUACGAAAUGAACAAGACUCGAAAUGGAAUCCUGAGUACGGCGAGACACGUGAAAUCUUGUCGGAAUCAACGCGGACCACCGCGUAAGGCUAAAUACUACCUAUUCACCGAUAGUAAACCA